AUUCAGUGUCAUUUACAUAUUUGAAUGGACUAUUUAAACAAUUAUCUAUCAACUGUAUUUAAAUCAUACUCAUGAAAUUUGAAGGUUAUGAAAUAUGUCAACGCACCAGAGCACAGCGCAACUUACAGCUCUUAGAGCAAAACCAUUCAGCUGUGAGAGCUGAACAACUUGCAGCUAUCAGAGCUGACUAAUAUAUAGUUGCUGUAACUACAAGAUAGACCGUAGAGUGCGUAUAGUUACUGGAGCUGUAGAAUACAGCUCGCCGAACAGAAUUUUUUUUUCCGUGUAUGAUUUAAAAAAAU
Molecule: long non-coding RNA, 302 nt
Filed under: Neodiprion pinetum (white pine sawfly)
Lineage: Eukaryota; Metazoa; Arthropoda; Insecta; Hymenoptera; Diprionidae
Description: uncharacterized LOC124224931
Source: RNAcentral